AGUGAACGCUGGCGGUAGGCCUAACACAUGCAAGUCGAACGGCAGCACAGUAAGAGCUUGCUCUUACGGGUGGCGAGUGGCGGACGGGUGAGGAAUACAUCGGAAUCUACUUUUUCGUGGGGGAUAACGUAGGGAAACUUACGCUAAUACCGCAUACGACCUACGGGUGAAAGCAGUGGAUCUUCGGACCUUGCGCGAUUGAAUGAGCCGAUGUCGGAUUAGCUAGUUGGCGUGGUAAAGGCCCACCAAGGCGACGAUCCGUAGCUGAUCUGAGAGGAUGAUCGGCCACACUGGAACUGAGACACGGUCCAGACUCCUACGGGAGGCAGCAGUGGGGAAUAUUGGACAAUGGGCGCAAGCCUGAUCCAGCAAUACCGCGUGGAUGAAGAAGGCCUUCGGGUUGUAAAGCCCUUUUGUUGGGAAAGAAAAGCAGCAGGUUAAUACCCCGCUGUUCUGACGGUACCCAAAGAAUAAGCAACGGCUAACUUCGUG
This 492-nucleotide ribosomal RNA is filed under the name uncultured bacterium. Its description in RNAcentral is "partial 16S ribosomal RNA". It matches the Rfam family "Bacterial small subunit ribosomal RNA", at positions 29 to 507 of the family's 1533-position model. The record is from RNAcentral.